RNAcentral lists this transfer RNA (74 nucleotides) under Alphaproteobacteria bacterium RIFCSPHIGHO2_12_FULL_63_12. RNAcentral's name for it is "tRNA-Cys". It matches the Rfam family "tRNA". Rfam says of the family: Transfer RNA (tRNA) molecules are approximately 80 nucleotides in length. Lineage: Bacteria; Pseudomonadati; Pseudomonadota; Alphaproteobacteria. RNAcentral also lists the same sequence under 4 other names. The record is from RNAcentral.
GGCCACGUGGCGGAGUGGUGACGCAGCGGCCUGCAAAGCCGUGCACGCCGGUUCGAUUCCGGCCGUGGCCUCCA